Molecule: ribosomal RNA, 492 nt
Filed under: uncultured bacterium
Lineage: Bacteria
Description: partial 16S ribosomal RNA
Rfam family: Bacterial small subunit ribosomal RNA
Source: RNAcentral
AGUGAACGCUGGCGGUAGGCCUAACACAUGCAAGUCGAACGGCAGCGCAGUACGAGCUUGCUCUUACGGGUGGCGAGUGGCGGACGUGCGAGGAAUGCAUCGUGAUCUACUUUUUCGUGUAGGAUAACGUAGCUAAACUUACGCUAAUACCGCAUACGACCUACGGGUGAAGGCAGUGGAUCUUCUGACCUUGCGCGGUUGGAUGAGCCGCUGUCGGAUUAGCUAGUUGGCCGGGUGAAGGCCCACCAAGUCGACGAUCCGUAGCUGGUCUGAGAGGAUGAUAAGCCACACUGGAAGUGAGACACGGUCAAGAGUACUACGGGAGGGCCCAGUGGGGAACAUUGGACAAUGGGGGCAAGCAUGAUCCAGCGAUCGCGAGUCGGUGAAGAAGGCGUUGGGGUUGUAAAGACGUUUUGUUGGGAAAGAAAAGCAGCAGGUUAAUACCAAGCUGGUCUGACGGUAAUCAAAGAAGAAGCACCGGCUAACUUCGUG